AUAAGAAUAGAUCAUUAUAUUGAGCCCAUGAAUGUGUCCUCAGACCUGGUUCUCUCCCUAGGUUUGGUUUUAUAAAUGCUAGUGAUAAAC
Small nucleolar RNA from Vicugna pacos (alpaca), 90 nucleotides. Its record names the gene SNORA72. It matches the Rfam family "Small nucleolar RNA SNORA72". Rfam says of the family: U72 is a member of the H/ACA class of snoRNAs. The snoRNA gene is located in intron 4 of the ribosomal L30 protein gene in human, mouse and chicken. The record is from Ensembl. Lineage: Eukaryota; Metazoa; Chordata; Mammalia; Artiodactyla; Camelidae.